This 470-nucleotide ribosomal RNA is filed under the name uncultured Pseudomonadota bacterium. RNAcentral's name for it is "bacterial SSU rRNA". It matches the Rfam family "Bacterial small subunit ribosomal RNA", at positions 8 to 522 of the family's 1533-position model. Lineage: Bacteria; Pseudomonadati; Pseudomonadota. The record is from RNAcentral.
AGAGUUUGAUCCUGGCUCAGAGCGAACGCUGGCGGCAGGCCUAACACAUGCAAGUCGAGCGGCCGUAGCAAUACGGCAGCGGCAGACGGGAGAGUAACACGUGGGAACGCGCCCUUCGGUUCGGAAUAACUCAGGGAAACUUGGGCUAAUACCGGAUACGCCCUAACGGGGAAAGAUUUAUUGCCGAAGGAACGGCCCGCGUCCGAUUAGCUUGUUGGUGAGGUAACGGCUCACCAAGGCGACGAUCGGUAGCUGGUCUGAGAGGAUGACCAGCCUCACUGGGACUGAGACACGGCCCAGACUCCUACGGGAGGCAGCAGUGGGGAAUAUUGGACAAUGGGCGCAAGCCUGAUCCAGCCAUGCCGCGUGGGUGAUGAAGGCCCUAGGGUUGUAAAGCCCUUUCAGCGGGGAAGAUAAUGACGGUACCCGCAGAAGAAGCCCCGGCUAACUUCGUGCCAGCAGCCGCGGUA